AGGGUUUGAUCAUGGCUCAGGAUGAACGCUAGCGGCAGGCCUAAUACAUGCAAGUCGAGGGGCAGCAGGAAUAGCAAUAUUUGCUGGCGACCGGCACACGGGUGCGUAACACGUAUACAAUCUGCCUUUAACAGGGGGAUAGCCCGGAGAAAUCCGGAUUAAUACCCCAUAACACUUUAGUUAGCAUUAACAGAAGUUGAAAGCUCCGGCGGUUAAAGAUGAGUAUGCGUCUGAUUAGCUAGAUGGUGAGGUAAUGGCUCACCAAGGCGACGAUCUCUAGCUGGUCUGAGAGGAUGAUCAGCCACACUGGAACUGAGACACGGUCCAGACUCCUACGGGAGGCAGCAGUGGGGAAUAUUGCACAAUGGGCGCAAGCCUGAUGCAGCCAUGCCGCGUGUGUGAAGAAGGCCCUGGGGUUGUAAAGCACUUUCAGCAGUGAGGAAAGGUUAUAAGUUAAUACCUUAUAACUGUGACGUUAACUGCAGAAGAAACCCCGGCUAACUCCGUGCCAGCCGCCGCGGUAAUAC
This 527-nucleotide ribosomal RNA is filed under the name uncultured bacterium. RNAcentral describes it as "bacterial SSU rRNA". It matches the Rfam family "Bacterial small subunit ribosomal RNA", at positions 8 to 526 of the family's 1533-position model. The record is from RNAcentral.